GGUAAUUUCUGGGGGCUGGGCUUCAAGAAGUACCUCAAAGAGAAGUGACAGUAAGAACUGAAAGAGACUUUGGGGAUCAGCCAAAAUUUAGCUUGGAUUGCUGUUUAAAAACAAACCCAUGUGACUUCUGGUUGCAGAUUCUAAUGGAGAUAGAACUGGUGAGCUGGAGAAAAGAUCUCAUCUCAUCUUGACUAGAUUAUAGUGUUCAUUUCUAGUCACUGUGGUUAAAGAAGAACACUGAUAAGCUGGAAUGUGUCCAGGGAAGGACAGCCAUGAUAGUAAAGGCCUGGAGUCCAUGACAAAUAAAAAUCAGUUGAAGGAGCUGGAUAUGUUUAAUUGGAAGCAAAGAAAACACAGGGAAAGGCCUGGAGAGACUUACAUGAACUGAUGCUGAGUGAAAUGAGCAGGACCAGGAG
This 416-nucleotide long non-coding RNA is filed under the name Sarcophilus harrisii (Tasmanian devil). RNAcentral describes it as "lncRNA (ENSSHAG00000028429.1)". The record is from RNAcentral. Lineage: Eukaryota; Metazoa; Chordata; Mammalia; Dasyuromorphia; Dasyuridae.